GUUGUUGCUGCCUUAUGUAUACCGGGACUAAAUAGCAUUACUAGAAUACUGCUCAAUACUCCAUCCGUUUCAAUUCAAAUUGUUGACUGUUCUAUCUUUUUUAUAUCUAUAUAGUUUGCUACAUAUCUAGAUAUAGAUUAUGUGUAGAUGUAUAUAUAUCAAAAACUAUGUAUUAAAAAAAUCAGAGUGAUUUACAAUUUAGUAUAGAGGAAGGAACAUAUGUUUGCGAAAGGGCCUUGAGUAGCACCAGCAGAUCUGGGUUUGACUCCUCGUGGAAACGAAUUUAAACAGGUCUGCAUUAUCAAAAAAUAAAAAAAAAAUAGGCUAGGGUUUUCCUUGCUGACUUCGGUCAAAAAAGGAACAUAUGUUUCGAAAUAGUAUGAUUGUGACAUUUUGACUAACAUUGUUUGCAAAAUGACAGAAGUGUCCUUGGAUUUGUACAAAUACUUACUCACUUAAAACUCCCUCCAUCUUGAACAUAGGUUUCGAAAUAGUAUGAUGUUGACAUUUUGACUAACAUUGUUUGCAAAAUGACAGAAGUGUCCUUGGAUUUGUACAAAUACUUACUCACUUAAAACUCCCUCCAUCUUGAACAUAGGUUUCGAAAUAGUAUGAUGUUGACAUUUUGACUAACAUUGUUUGCAAAAUGACAGAAGUGUCCUUGGAUUUGUACAAAUACUUAUUCACUUAAAACUCCCUCCAUCUUGUAUUACAGUGCAUUGUGGCUAUAUAUUCUAAAACAAAAUAAGAGAUAUGGUAAUAGACGCAUGUAUCCCUCACUUAACUUCCUAAUCUAUUGAAUCUAAUCCUAUCUUGCAUGAUAAAAUGGGUGGAAUCUACGUUCCCUUAUAGAAAAUAUGGUAAACAAUGAAUUACUUUCAUUAUUUAAGUAGAACAGAUAAUAAAUGAAAAAUAAAGCAGAAAAUCACGUAUUUUUAUUUAAGUAAAUAUUAUCUUAUUGUUCCUAUAUUUAGGGACAUCUCUCAAACAUCAGAAUGCACUCUGCUCCAGGAUAGAGGUAGUAUGAAAAAAUAAACUGAGUUUUUUUAUAAAAUCCUUGAUUGGGAUGCUAAUGCUGGGCCCUGGGCCCAUACCUCAGUAGGCGGGCGAAUAGGAUAGAAAGCCUGCUAG
RNAcentral lists this long non-coding RNA (1131 nucleotides) under Sorghum bicolor (sorghum). RNAcentral's name for it is "long non-coding RNA (SBIC_LNC007180)". The record is from RNAcentral. Lineage: Eukaryota; Viridiplantae; Streptophyta; Magnoliopsida; Poales; Poaceae.